GACAUUUGAGUGGUUUUCACCAGUAAUACAGGAGUGCUGAGCCACAAGAAAAGCUGCGGGGAGGAUAACAAUUUCGUGGAAAACAGAUUGUUGUGGGACAUUGGAAGAACCAGUUCAAGGUCGUUGGUCAUGGUCGUUGGUCAUGGAGCAGCUGGAGAUGGUGAAGCGCCACUUCUGGGCCUGAGAAACAAGCACUGACUGUAGCCCGCGGCAUCCCCAUUCAGAGUCAGGAUCCGAUUGUGCUACAAACACACUGUAUAAACACACUGGAAGACACAAUCCCUAACCUGCAGAAUUUGCAGCCUAAGUUUCCAAUCCUGCCUUUGGAUCAGUGAUGGUGGAUGUCUUCCUACCCCUCAUGGAGCCCCAUUGAAGUCAGUGAGUGUGCAUGCAGGCACAGGUGUCUGCCUGCCUGGAACCAUUUGCAGAAUCAAGACCCAGGCAGGGGUGCUGGACCAAUUUUAUAGUGGGGAUGCUGAGAGCCA
This is a long non-coding RNA of Mauremys mutica (yellowpond turtle), 485 nucleotides long. RefSeq lists it as uncharacterized. The transcript has 3 exons. NCBI's taxonomy places the organism in Eukaryota, Metazoa, Chordata, Testudines, Geoemydidae. The record is from RefSeq and is a predicted model, not a curated record.